GUGCUCCAACAAGUCUAUGUCUCUUCUGUGCUGAGGACUCCACAUCUGGACACAGUACUUCAGGUAGUUCAGGCAGAACCUGCCCUUGGUGAAGCCAUGCUGGUUAUCCCAUAUCACCUCCCUGCUCUGCUCCAUGAUCUUCCCUGUCACUGAGGUGAGGCUAAAAGGUGAAUUAAUGAAGCCUUCAAGGUAUAUUGUGGUGUAUGGGAACUGCUGAGUCAUGGCCUGAACCACUGAUUGAGCACCUGGAGGAAAGACCCUGUCAGCCCUGGGAGUACAGGUGAAGGCAAUUCACCUGUGUGACCAGAAGCCUGGCUCCACCCCUCUUAGGCCUCCUUUAAGUGCUGACUUCCACUGAGGAAGGAUCUUUUUCUGCAGAUCCCUCCUUCGUGGGAGCCUUUUCCUGCGAACCCUAUAUCUUCUGAUCUGGGUGAGCAAUCUAUUUUCCUUCCGUUGUUGCGCCUUGCUAUUGUGCCGGUCCUUCCACCUCUUUGUAACACCUUUUCCAUCGCGUUUGUCCUUCUGAUUGCUACAUGUGGUUACUAGUAUUUGGUUUUUUAGUUGAUGUGAAAGAGAGGAAUUAAUAGCCAAUCUCAGUUCUGUGCCUUUCAUUUCAACAGAGAAUAUGCAGAUCUUUGUCUUGGAAUUUAUGUCACUUUUCUUUCCUGGUACCCAAAUCAACCACAUAUCUUUAAUCUUAUACUUGAGAAAUGACUGGCAUCAUAAAUAAGGUCUUGUUAUUUAAUGUAUGACUAAAUAUUUAUUUGUCUGCAGUCAAUGAAUUAGAAAAUUGAAAUGGAAAAUCCUUUUGAGAGGUCUUUGCUGCUACCUUUUGUCUCGACUGUCUUGGGAUAUAAGGAAGAGGGAUAUGAGUCUAUUGAAUAUAAUUCACUGAACAAAUUUUUGUUCUUGUGAUAUGUUGUGGAUAUACAAUAUUGUAGAUGCAUUUAUUUUGAAGCUCAACUUGAUAUAGGUUGGCUUAGCAACAGGGAUCUAUAUAUUAGUUUAAGGAGCAAUACAUUAAUUUAGUAAAAGGAAUCAGUGUGUGCUAGUUCUAAAACUUUCCAGUUUAGCUUUGCUUGGUAUGUGAACAGCUUUGUUUUUCUCAAUGAGCUUGCUUCACAGAAGCACUGAAGUCACAAUAAGACUACUUUUAUCCUCUAGUCCACUAGGUGCAAGGACUUUUUCUUGAGUUCCACAUAAAUUGUUUUGAGUUAUAGCGCACCAAGAAGGAAAGUUGUUCAUUAUGGCAUAACAAGCAAUGGGAAUUUGACAAAUUGUGGAAAAACAGCUAAAGGUCAGCCAAAAGUCCCUGUGAUGAAGCUGAUGGAGAAAUAAAAGGGAGGAAGCAGGCGGUUGUAUGACCAGCUUAGAUGCAACUGCACAUGCUCAGAAGGACAUUAGCAAAUAUUAAUGAGUUCUCUGGAAAAAAAAAAAGUAUGCCAAUGCAUUGCAUAUGUAUGUCUUAACUGUUUAAAUGUAGAACCUGAACUGUGAGAGCGUGCGUGCACUUGAUUUAUUGAGUCACUCCUCACGUACUUUGAGGAAUAAAGGAAUGCCACUUUCUAACAUCAGAUUGAAGUUAGAGAGUUUUCUUCCCAGAUUUCAGAUGACAAACUCAAAUUCCAAUUGACCAGAGAGUAACUCUGACUUUACAUAAUAAUCAGUUAUCUCCUAGCUUCCAGCACUGGAUGACGUCUCGUAUUGUUUAAUAAUGAUUUUUUUUACAAUGAGAAUUGUGAAAAGACUCUGGUUCACAUAGUUCAUAUGGUAGCAAUUUAUUGCCUGACUGCAGGUUUAUUAAAUCUCUCUGUCACUACAAGGUUAUUAUAGCAGUUAGAUAUAGACAGAUAUUUUAGGCAUGAACUUGCUGUUGUGACUUCAGAAAUAUUGAGUGCUCUUGGUUUGAAGUUCUGAUGAGAAAUAAAUCCUUCUUGUGACGUUUUUAUACCAUGUGGAAGUGUGAGCAACAGCACCUGGCAAGCAAGCUGUCUUCUUUAAAUGUAAAAAGCCAGCUGCUCUUCAGGUUGGAGAAGAAUUUAGCAGGAAAUAGAAGUCUACUUAAAUGUUUGUUGCUUAGAUCUGCAAAAGAAAAACCAUACUUUAUGAUCUGUCCUCUGGACACUGGGAAAACUAUAUUUCUAUCAUAUGUAUUUUAUAUUUGAAAGUGGUACUCAUUUUCAAGUGAACAGUCUACUUAACCGAUUCAUCACUGUUCCUAUCUCAUUUAUGUAACCAGACAAGUAACAAAAUCAACCUCUUAUGGAAAAUAAACAGAACUGGAUGGAAAGCUCUUUCAGGAUACAGUAAGGGUGGUAUUUCUGGAUUUUUCUUUAUAUGGGUUCCCUACUUUCCCUAUUCUUGUAUGUGCAUCAAAUGGAGUCUAGUUUAAUAAGAUUCAAAUGGAUCUGCUUUCUGAUUACAUAAAACUAUGUUCUAAGCAGACUGAUUAAAUUAAGAGAUGUUUUCCUCAGCAGAGGAAAAUAAACUCCAAAAUAAAUGUUUCUUGCUCUUGAAAGCCCUAGGUGACAACUGCCUCAUAAUACACUAGGAAGAAAAAUUAUCAGACUUUAAAUGUAGGUGAGAUGAUGCAAGACUGGUAUAAUUAACUGACUAUGUGUUUUCUGACUGUGCAAGAUAUUUCAUCUGAUUUCUUCAGCAAAUCAUAAAAUCACUAAGGUUGAAAAAGACCUCUAAGAUCAUCUGGUCCAACCAUCAACUAUCAAUAAUUUACUUAGUCUUGCAACUGUCUAAAUCAGCCACAUAUGUCUUCAUAGUAUAUGUGCCACACAUCUUCCAAAUAUGAGCCUUUAAUAACAGAAAGCAACUGAACUGCAGGUCGUCUUUAGUUUCCAUUAAGCAGUGAGAGGAAAAAAAAAAAUUGAAAUGCUUCAGCAUGCAAGAAAGAUUUAUAUAUCAAAGUACAGCUCCCAGCCUCCCAAAAUCUGAAAAGCUGUUAUAAAUAUCACCAAUAUAUUUUUUCAGUAUAUAUUUAUUUUUAUAAAUUUUCUAGUUUUCUGAUAAUUCUACUCCAAUACAUCUAGCAUUAAUUUUAGCUGACAGCCUCAGUCAAAUGACAUUAUAAUCCACUGAAAAGAUUUCCUUUUAGUGCCUGGAAAAAAAAUAACUUUCAGGGAUCUAUUUUAAUCUGUAGGUAGAUUAUACUGUGACAGCUACAGCUUUGGCUUGGUUCCCAAGGAGACUUCCUCUAUUUAUAUUUCAUUUGUUAUUGGUUUUUGAUUUCCUUCUUAUGAACGGCCAAAUCAUAUUAAUCCAUCCAAUCUACCUGACUCUUCUGCCAACAAAACUGUUCUCAUACCCUGCUGCAGUCUCCAUGUUUGUCGAUGGGACAGUGAGGGAAUGAAAACAGUUCUGUAACGACCAUACAGAAAACGCUGUCUAGAAACAUUGAUUUCUUUUUGCAGAGCUCUCCUCAGUUAUUUAAAUACUAUGAUAUUUUCUCCAAGAUUUGUGAACUGAUACAAAGAGAGAAAGUUCCUGCCAGUGCAGUACUGAAAACUAAGUAGGCCAAAAGUACAUGUGCCAUCAAUAAUACUCUCCUGUCCUAGACUCCUGCCACAUAAACACUGAAGCAUCUGCUCAUCUUUGCUUGUGUGAACAGCUCUUCUAUUUCACUGGGCAGUAGGGUAAAUUUACGUUUUAAGACAUUCUUAUUUGCAGACUCAGAUUUUAAGGCAUGGUAUUUACUUGUCUGUGUGUCAGCAUCUACUGCCAUUUAAGAUGCUGUAGGUUAUCCCUCCUGGUUUUCAGCUACUGUUCCAGAAUAGUGCAGGUUUAUACUAAGUUUCAGGUUACUUCCCACUCAGAAGUUUCUGAUAUCCUUGAGCAUAUACAAUGACCUGUAUGUUAUCCUAGCUGUCAUCACACUAGAACAAGGACUUGAACAAAUAUGACUCAAUGCAAUUGAGAGAAUAGCUUUUGUUAACUCCUAGGAGUGAGAUUUCCAAGCAGAAUACCAUGUACUGUAUUUUUAUUUACUAAAUUGUACUGAUACCUUCAGGGGAAAGGAUGUCAUCAAAUUACAAAAUGUUACAAGCUAUAAGCAAUAAACUAGAUGGAACCAAAACA
Numida meleagris (helmeted guineafowl) is the source of this 4089-nucleotide long non-coding RNA. RefSeq lists it as uncharacterized. The record is from RefSeq and is a predicted model, not a curated record. Lineage: Eukaryota; Metazoa; Chordata; Aves; Galliformes; Numididae. The transcript is spliced from 3 exons.